GACGAACGCUGGCGGCGUGCUUAACACAUGCAAGUCGAACGAAGAGCGAUGGAAGCUUGCUUCUCUCAAUCUUAGUGGCGAACGGGUGAGUAACGCGUAAUCAACCUGCCCUUCAGAGGGGGACAACAGUUGGAAACGACUGCUAAUACCGCAUACGAUCCAAUCUCGGCAUCGGGACUGGAUGAAAGGUGGCCUCUAUUUAUAAGCUAUCACUGAAGGAGGGGAUUGCGUCUGAUUAGCUAGUUGGAGGGGUAACGGCCCACCAAGGCGAUGAUCAGUAGCCGGUCUGAGAGGAUGAACGGCCACAUUGGGACUGAGACACGGCCCAGACUCCUACGGGAGGCAGCAGUGGGGAAUCUUCCGCAAUGGACGAAAGUCUGACGGAGCAACGCCGCGUGAGUGAUGACGGCCUUCGGGUUGUAAAGCUCUGUUAAUCGGGACGAAUGGUUCUUGUGCGAAUAGUGCGAGGAUUUGACGGUACCGGAAUAGAAAGCCACCGCUAACUACGUG
RNAcentral lists this ribosomal RNA (510 nucleotides) under uncultured bacterium. RNAcentral's name for it is "partial 16S ribosomal RNA". It matches the Rfam family "Bacterial small subunit ribosomal RNA", at positions 28 to 507 of the family's 1533-position model. The record is from RNAcentral.